RNAcentral lists this ribosomal RNA (468 nucleotides) under uncultured bacterium. RNAcentral describes it as "partial 16S ribosomal RNA". It matches the Rfam family "Bacterial small subunit ribosomal RNA", at positions 28 to 507 of the family's 1533-position model. The record is from RNAcentral.
GACGAACGCUGGCGGCGUGCUUAACACAUGCAAGUCGAACGGAAAGGCCCUGCUUUUGUGGGGUGCUCGAGUGGCGAACGGGUGAGUAACACGUGAGUAACCUGCCCCUGACUGUGGGAUAACUUCAUGAAACUGGGGCUAAUACCGGAUAGGAGCUCCUGCUGCAUGGUGGUGUUCGGAAAGUUUCGGCGGUUGGGGAUGGACUCGCGGCUUAUCAGCUUGUUGGUGGGGUAGUGGCUUACCAAGGCUUUGACGGGUAGCCGGCCUGAGAGGGUGAACGGCCACAUUGGGACUGAGAUACGGCCCAGACUCCUACGGGAGGCAGCAGUGGGGAAUAUUGCACAAUGGGCGGAAGCCUGAUGCAGCAACGCCGCGUGCGGGAUGACGGCCUUCGGGUUGUAAACCGCUUUCGCCUGUGACGAAGCGUGAGUGACGGUAAUGGGUAAAGAAGCACCGGCUAACUACGUG